UCUGCGUGCUUCUUCAUGCCAAAGAGACUGUACAACUUUACUGGUCAUGGUGACUCUGAUCCUGCAAUCAAUUCACAAUUUCUGCCACAGCUUAAAGCUCAAUGCCCUCUCAAUGGAGAUGUAAAUGUUCGACUACCUCUUGACUUGUCCUCUCAAUUCACAUUUGACGAUCAUAUCUUCCACAACAUCAGAAAUGGGUUUGCUGUGCUAGCAUCUGAUGCUAGGCUUUAUGAUGACAAGAACACUAGGCAGGUACUCGAUUCCUACGUUGGCUUUACGAAUAGACGCCCGUCUUUUAAAGCUGAUUUUGCUGUAGCAAUGGUGAAGUUGGG
Molecule: unclassified non-coding RNA, 332 nt
Filed under: Hevea brasiliensis (rubber tree)
Lineage: Eukaryota; Viridiplantae; Streptophyta; Magnoliopsida; Malpighiales; Euphorbiaceae
Source: RNAcentral